UAUUUGUAGGUUUUUUCUAUGAGUUAUGCUAUGGGCAAGAGCUGCAUAGGUCAAGAUUGCUCGCUGUUGCUGAUAUAUAUGCUCCUGUUAAAUUCCAAUAAUUUAUGCAUUUUAUUACAUUGGCGACAACUAUUUCAAGACUAAAGCAGAGCCACAAUUACAAUAUGCACCAACGAAGACUUUGGCAGGACAUAUAGAGCAAUACAAAGAGCAAGAUUUCUUGGAAUGAAAGGAAGCCAAGAGAAAAGAAGUGAGUCACAAAAAAAGAUUGAAGAGCGGUAUGUAAUGCUGAGUAAGAGCUAGAAAGGUAACAACACACAAGGAAGUCGAAGAAAGCACACGAAGAUGCUACAAAACUGCAGGAACUAAUGGACCAGGGAUUUGAGACGCAUACGAUGGAGCACAGGCAAAAAAAAAUGAAGAUCCUAAGGAGGAGAAGAGGACGAAUGUGAAGUAGAGGAUAUCAAUGGUGGGGAGGAUGAGAUCAUGAUGGAUGAUUUGCUGGAAGAGGGAAGAGAUGGAAACGACAAGGGAAUGUGCACUGAUACUACAAAAGCAGAAACAGUGGAAACAUUAAACAUUACGUCCUCCCCAAAUUUAAGCAAAACAAAAAAAAACAUUACGUCCUCCAAGUUUGCGAGUAAUAUAAACCAA
Long non-coding RNA from Brassica oleracea var. oleracea, 654 nucleotides. RefSeq lists it as uncharacterized. Lineage: Eukaryota; Viridiplantae; Streptophyta; Magnoliopsida; Brassicales; Brassicaceae. The record is from RefSeq and is a predicted model, not a curated record. The transcript has 3 exons.